AGCAGCCGCGGUAAUUCCAGCUCCAAUAGCGUAUAUUAAAGUUGUUGCAGUUAAAAAGCUCGUAGUUGAAUUUCGGGAUCAGAGUGUCGGUCGUGCCUCGGUACGCACUGGUAUUAUUGGUUCCUACCUUCUGAAGAACUGCGAUGUCAUUAAUUUGGUGUCGUGGGGAAUCAGGACUGUUACUUUGAAAAAAUUAGAGUGUUUAAAGCAGGCUUACGCUUGAAUACAUUAGCAUGGAGUAAUGAAAUAGGACGUUUGAUUCUAUUUUGUUGGUUUCUAGGAUUGACGUAAUGAUUAAUAGGGAUAGUUGGGGGCAUUAGUAUUCAAUUGUCAGAGGUGAAAUUCUUGGAUUUAUUGAAGACUAACUACUGCGAAAGCAUUUGCCAAGGAUGUUUUCAUUAAUCAAGAACGAAAGUUAGGGGAUCGAAGACGAUCAGAUACCGUCGUAGUCUUAACCAUAAACUAUGCCGACUAGGGAUCGGAUGAUGUUAAUUUUUUAAUGACUCAUUCGGCGCCUUAA
This 520-nucleotide ribosomal RNA is filed under the name uncultured Glomus. RNAcentral describes it as "SSU rRNA". It matches the Rfam family "Eukaryotic small subunit ribosomal RNA", at positions 569 to 1091 of the family's 1831-position model. The record is from RNAcentral. Lineage: Eukaryota; Fungi; Glomeromycota; Glomeromycetes; Glomerales; Glomeraceae.